GAUGAACGCUGGCGGCGUGCCUAAUACAUGCAAGUCGAGCGAACAGACGAGGAGCUUGCUCCUCUGACGUUAGCGGCGGACGGGUGAGUAACACGUGGAUAACCUACCUAUAAGACUGGGAUAACUUCGGGAAACCGGAGCUAAUACCGGAUAAUAUAAUGAACCGCAUGGUUCAAUAGUGAAAGACGGUUUUGCUGUCACUUAUAGAUGGAUCCGCGCCGCAUUAGCUAGUUGGUAAGGUAACGGCUUACCAAGGCAACGAUGCGUAGCCGACCUGAGAGGGUGAUCGGCCACACUGGAACUGAGACACGGUCCAGACUCCUACGGGAGGCAGCAAUAGGGAAUCUUCCGCAAUGGGCGAAAGCCUGACGGAGCAACGCCGCGUGAGUGAUGAAGGUCUUCGGAUCGUAAAACUCUGUUAUUAGGGAAGAACAAAUGUGUAAGUAACUAUGCACGUCUUGACGGUACCUAAUCAGAAAGCCACGGCUAACUACGUG
RNAcentral lists this ribosomal RNA (497 nucleotides) under uncultured bacterium. Its description in RNAcentral is "partial 16S ribosomal RNA". It matches the Rfam family "Bacterial small subunit ribosomal RNA", at positions 28 to 507 of the family's 1533-position model. The record is from RNAcentral.